RNAcentral lists this ribosomal RNA (306 nucleotides) under Triticum aestivum (bread wheat). RNAcentral describes it as "partial small subunit ribosomal RNA". The record is from RNAcentral. Lineage: Eukaryota; Viridiplantae; Streptophyta; Magnoliopsida; Poales; Poaceae.
AUGAGGAUCAAUGAUUCAAGUUCAGAGGAGGAGGAUGUCCCUCUACCUCAACCUGGGGAUAUGCACAUGAAGUUCAAGAAGUCUAGUCUCCCUAAGAGGGCUAAACUAUCUAACAAUCGAUCUAUUCCUUCUCGUUUUCGGCAGAAAAGCAAAGGAGAUUUAUGUGACAAGAUCUUGAAGCUGGAGUCGGAGGUCGAUGAUUUAAAGGAGGAAAUCGCUCUUCUCAAUUACAACAUGAAGAAGCUGAAAGCACAAUUUACAUCAUCAACAACUCCAUCAUCGCCACCUCCGAAGAAAGAGACAUAA